Non-coding RNA from Gossypium hirsutum (cotton), 107 nucleotides. NCBI's taxonomy places the organism in Eukaryota, Viridiplantae, Streptophyta, Magnoliopsida, Malvales, Malvaceae. The record is from Rfam.
AACCCAUGGUGAGGACACCUUCUCAAUAGAUCCUUGUAUCUCUCCCAUGCAUCAUAAAGUGUUUCUAAAUUCGUUUGCACAAAAGAAGAGAUGUCAUUCCUCAAUUU